This 72-nucleotide transfer RNA is filed under the name Stegodyphus mimosarum. It matches the Rfam family "tRNA". Rfam says of the family: Transfer RNA (tRNA) molecules are approximately 80 nucleotides in length. Lineage: Eukaryota; Metazoa; Arthropoda; Arachnida; Araneae; Eresidae. The record is from Rfam by way of RNAcentral.
GCCUUCGUAGUGUAAUGAUUAGCACACUCGGCAUGUAUUCGAGAGAUCCAGGUUCGAGUCCCGGAGAGGGCA